RNAcentral lists this ribosomal RNA (440 nucleotides) under uncultured bacterium. RNAcentral describes it as "partial 16S ribosomal RNA". It matches the Rfam family "Bacterial small subunit ribosomal RNA", at positions 338 to 795 of the family's 1533-position model. The record is from RNAcentral.
CCUACGGGAGGCAGCAGUGGGGAAUAUUGGACAAUGGGGGAAACCCUGAUCCAGCGACGCCGCGUGAGUGAAGAAGUAUUUCGGUACGUAAAGCUCUAUCAGCAGGAAAGAAAAUGACGGUACUUGACUAAGAAGCACCGGCUAACUACGUGCCACCAGCCGCGGGAAUACGUAGGUGGCAAGCGUUAUCCGGAUUUACUGGGUGUAAAGGGAGCGUAGACGGCAGCUCAAGUAUGGAGUGAAAUGCCGGGGCCCAACCCCGGAACUGCUCUGGAAACUGUGAAGCUGGAGUGCAGGAGAGGUAAGCGGAAUUCCUGGUGUAGCGGUGGAAUGCGUAGAUAUCAGGAGGAACACCGGCGGCGAAGGCGGCUUACUGGACUGUAACUGACGUUGAGGCUCGAAAGCGUGGGGAGCAAACAGGAUUAGAUACCCCAGUAGUC